CAAUCCAGUGUGUCCCCAAGAUGUGGCC
RNAcentral lists this non-coding RNA (28 nucleotides) under Homo sapiens (human). Lineage: Eukaryota; Metazoa; Chordata; Mammalia; Primates; Hominidae. The record is from RNAcentral.